AUUUCUUUUCAUUAAAUAAAAUUUGGGAUGUUACACUCUGCCUCGGUGGUGUAUUUCUUAGGGCUUGUUUGGAUUGGAUUUUGGGUUAUGGGAGGUUUGUUCAGUUGAAAAACCCUAGUGAUGAAACUUUGAGAAGCCCUUUUAAGACUUCUAUAAGUUAGAGGUAAUUUUUGAGAGCUUCUCUGCUUAAAAAUAAAUAAUUAUUUUCAGCAAAGUAGAGAAUUAUUUUCGGUGGAGAAGCUCACAAAAGUAUUUCUACUUGAAAGUAGUUAGUUGAAUGUUUUCUUGUUGUCUUUCUUUUCUUUUUAGAUACUGGAUUCACAGGUAUUUACCUAGAAACAGUUAUCUGUUGAGGAUGAUGAACUUAUGGUUGCUACUGGUUUGGGGCAAGUAGAAAAAUGGUGUUAUAUUGUAUGCUAUUGAUAUCAUAUACGAAUUUAAUUAGCAUUGAUUUUAGAUAUAUUUUCCCGACCAAGCAUUUGUUUAUAAUAAAUAAAUUUUCAAGAGGAAAAAGAAAAUCUAUAUUGUAUCACAACUCCUGGUCUCUAUUAUAUAAGAGACUUGAAUCAAGUUCUGCAUGCUAAUGACCUUCCCUAAGGAAUACAUGUAAGUGGGUACAUGCAGAAUUUAUUUUUUUGCUAUACUAGGUUUAGUCUUUUGAGAGGUUUAAUUAAUUAUGUUAAUUAACACUGUUAUUUGUGGUUAUAUCACUACUUUUCUGGGGAGGCAAACUAGGGAACUUUUUGUUGAAGAAACCGCGUGAAGAGGCUACCACUGUCAAUCAAGGAAUAUAGUUCAUAUCACAAGCCUACUUUAGACGUGUAAAAACCCUACUGAUGGAAAAUAUCGAGAAACAUGAAGCAAAUAGGUGCCCCUGCUACCAAAAUAUAAUUCUGUGCAAAUAAUGGAGUAACAUAGGUAAUAUUUCUGGUUUUAAUGUCCUGUCUAUCAAUCUCAUCAUAUUUAAUAAAAUCAUCUAUGAUUG
Cajanus cajan (pigeon pea) is the source of this 985-nucleotide non-coding RNA. NCBI's taxonomy places the organism in Eukaryota, Viridiplantae, Streptophyta, Magnoliopsida, Fabales, Fabaceae. The record is from RefSeq and is a predicted model, not a curated record.